Molecule: ribosomal RNA, 465 nt
Filed under: Vreelandella stevensii
Lineage: Bacteria; Pseudomonadati; Pseudomonadota; Gammaproteobacteria; Oceanospirillales; Halomonadaceae
Description: partial 16S ribosomal RNA
Rfam family: Bacterial small subunit ribosomal RNA
Source: RNAcentral
CCUACGGGUGGCAGCAGUGGGGAAUAUUGGACAAUGGGCGAAAGCCUGAUCCAGCCAUGCCGCGUGUGUGAAGAAGGCCUUCGGGUUGUAAAGCACUUUCAGUGGGGAAGAAAGCCUUGGGGCUAAUACCCUCGAGGAAGGACAUCACCCACAGAAGAAGCACCGGCUAACUCCGUGCCAGCAGCCGCGGUAAUACGGAGGGUGCGAGCGUUAAUCGGAAUUACUGGGCGUAAAGCGCGCGUAGGCGGUCUGAUAAGCCGGUUGUGAAAGCCCCGGACUCAACCUGGGAACGGCAUCCGGAACUGUCAGGCUAGAGUGCAGGAGAGGAAGGUAGAAUUCCCGGUGUAGCGGUGAAAUGCGUAGAGAUCGGGAGGAAUACCAGUGGCGAAGGCGGCCUUCUGGACUGACACUGACGCUGAGGUGCGAAAGCGUGGGUAGCAAACAGGAUUAGAUACCCCUGUAGUC